UUUAUAAAUAGAUACUAAGGCUAAAGCACCGGAUCCCAUUAGAACUCCGAAGUUAAGCGUCUUAAGGCGUGGUUAGUACUAAGGUGGGGGACCGCUUGGGAAGUCCACGUGUCGACAACC
Non-coding RNA from Pseudocohnilembus persalinus, 120 nucleotides. The record is from Rfam. Lineage: Eukaryota; Ciliophora; Oligohymenophorea; Philasterida; Pseudocohnilembidae.